This is a non-coding RNA of Paramuricea clavata, 67 nucleotides long. NCBI's taxonomy places the organism in Eukaryota, Metazoa, Cnidaria, Anthozoa, Malacalcyonacea, Plexauridae. The record is from the annotation of a GenBank genome assembly.
GCGCCAAUCACAAAACAGAAUUAGUGGUUUAGUACUAAAACCACUAAUUCUGUUUUGUGAUUGGCGC